This 2887-nucleotide ribosomal RNA is filed under the name Acinetobacter baumannii. RNAcentral's name for it is "23S ribosomal RNA". It matches the Rfam family "Bacterial large subunit ribosomal RNA". Lineage: Bacteria; Pseudomonadati; Pseudomonadota; Gammaproteobacteria; Moraxellales; Moraxellaceae. The record is from RNAcentral.
GUUGUAUAGUCAAGUAAUUAAGUGCAUGUGGUGGAUGCCUUGGCAGUCAGAGGCGAUGAAAGACGUGAUAGCCUGCGAAAAGCUCCGGGGAGGCGGCAAAUAUCCUUUGAUCCGGAGAUGUCUGAAUGGGGGAACCCACCUACUUUAAGGUAGGUAUUGCAACAUGAAUACAUAGUGUUGCAAGGCGAACGAGGGGAAGUGAAACAUCUCAGUACCCUUAGGAAAAGAAAUCAAUUGAGAUUCCCUCAGUAGCGGCGAGCGAACGGGGAUCAGCCCAUUAAGUUAUGUGUGUUUUAGUGGAACGCUCUGGGAAGUGCGAACGUAGAGGGUGAUAUUCCCGUACACGAAAGGGCACACAUAAUGAUGACGAGUAGGGCGAGGCACGUGAAACCUUGUCUGAAUAUGGGGGGACCAUCCUCCAAGGCUAAAUACUCCUGACUGACCGAUAGUGAACCAGUACCGUGAGGGAAAGGCGAAAAGAACCCCUGUGAGGGGAGUGAAAUAGAUCCUGAAACCGCAUGCAUACAAGCAGUGGGAGCACCUUCGUGGUGUGACUGCGUACCUUUUGUAUAAUGGGUCAGCGACUUAUAUUCAGUAGCAAGGUUAACCGUAUAGGGGAGCCGUAGAGAAAUCGAGUCUUAAUAGGGCGUUUAGUUGCUGGGUAUAGACCCGAAACCAGGCGAUCUAUCCAUGAGCAGGUUGAAGGUUGGGUAACACUAACUGGAGGACCGAACCCACUGUCGUUGAAAAGCCAGGGGAUGACUUGUGGAUAGGGGUGAAAGGCUAAUCAAGCCUGGUGAUAGCUGGUUCUCCCCGAAAGCUAUUUAGGUAGCGCCUCGGACGAAUACCAUAGGGGGUAGAGCACUGUUUCGGCUAGGGGGUCAUCCCGACUUACCAAACCGAUGCAAACUCCGAAUACCUAUGAGUACUAUCCGGGAGACAGACUGCGGGUGCUAACGUCCGUAGUCAAGAGGAAAACAAUCCAGACCGCCAGCUAAGGCCCCAAAAUCAUAGUUAAGUGGGAAACGAUGUGGGAAGGCAUAGACAGCUAGGAGGUUGGCUUAGAAGCAGCCACCCUUUAAAGAAAGCGUAAUAGCUCACUAGUCGAGUCGGCCUGCGCGGAAGAUGUAACGGGGCUAAAACUAUGUGCCGAAGCUGCGGAUNNNNNNNNNNNNNNNNNNNNNNNNNNNNNNAUGCUGGAGGUAUCAGAAGUGCGAAUGCUGACGUGAGUAACGACAAAACGGGUGAAAAACCCGUUCGCCGAAAGACCAAGGGUUCCAGUCCAACGUUAAUCGGGGCUGGGUGAGUCGACCCCUAAGGCGAGGCCGAAAGGCGUAGUCGAUGGGAAAAUGGUUAAUAUUCCAUUACUUCUGUGUAAUGCGAUGAGAGGACGGAGAAGGCUAAAUCAGCCUGGCGUUGGUUGUCCAGGUGAAAGGAUGUAGGCAUGUAUCUUAGGCAAAUCCGGGGUACUCUAUGCUGAGAUCUGAUAGCAAGCUGUACUUGUACAGCGAAGUGGUUGAUGCCAUGCUUCCAGGAAAAGUCUCUAAGCUUCAGUUACACAGGAAUCGUACCCGAAACCGACACAGGUGGUCAGGUCGAGUAGACCAAGGCGCUUGAGAGAACUCUGCUGAAGGAACUAGGCAAAAUGGUACCGUAACUUCGGGAGAAGGUACGCUGUUGUUGGUGAUGGAACUCGCUUCCUGAGCUGACGACAGCCGCAGAAACCAGGCCGCUGCAACUGUUUAUUAAAAACAUAGCACUCUGCAAACACGAAAGUGGACGUAUAGGGUGUGAUGCCUGCCCGGUGCUGGAAGGUUAAUUGAUGGGGUUAGCGUAAGCGAAGCUCUUGAUCGAAGCCCCAGUAAACGGCGGCCGUAACUAUAACGGUCCUAAGGUAGCGAAAUUCCUUGUCGGGUAAGUUCCGACCUGCACGAAUGGCAUAAUGAUGGCGGCGCUGUCUCCAGCAGAGGCUCAGUGAAAUCGAAAUCGCUGUGAAGAUGCAGUGUACCCGCGGCUAGACGGAAAGACCCCGUGAACCUUUACUGCAGCUUGACACUGAACUUUGACCUUACUUGUGUAGGAUAGGUGGGAGGCUUUGAAGCUGGAACGCUAGUUCCAGUGGAGCCGUCCUUGAAAUACCACCCUGGUAAUGUUGAGGUUCUAACUCUGUCCCGUGAUCCGGGACGAGGACCGUGUCUGGUGGGUAGUUUGACUGGGGCGGUCUCCUCCUAAAGAGUAACGGAGGAGUACGAAGGUGCGCUCAGCGUGGUCGGAAAUCACGCGUAGAGUAUAAAGGCAAAAGCGCGCUUAACUGCGAGACCCACAAGUCGAGCAGGUACGAAAGUAGGUCUUAGUGAUCCGGUGGUUCUGUAUGGAAGGGCCAUCGCUCAACGGAUAAAAGGUACUCUGGGGAUAACAGGCUGAUACCGCCCAAGAGUUCAUAUCGACGGCGGUGUUUGGCACCUCGAUGUCGGCUCAUCUCAUCCUGGGGCUGAAGCAGGUCCCAAGGGUAUGGCUGUUCGCCAUUUAAAGAGGUACGCGAGCUGGGUUUAGAACGUCGUGAGACAGUUCGGUCCCUAUCUACCGUGGGCGCUGGAAAUUUGAGAGGAUCUGCUCCUAGUACGAGAGGACCAGAGUGGACGAACCUCUGGUGUACCGGUUGUGACGCCAGUCGCAUCGCCGGGUAGCUAUGUUCGGAAGGGAUAACCGCUGAAAGCAUCUAAGCGGGAAGCCUACCUCAAGAUAAGAUUUCCCUAGGACUUUAUGUCCUCUAAAGAGCCGUUCGAGACUAGGACGUUGAUAGGUUGGAUGUGGAAGCAUAGUGAUAUGUGAAGCUGACCAAUACUAAUUGCUCGUGAGGCUUGACUAUACAACACCCAAGCAGUUG